RNAcentral lists this ribosomal RNA (1889 nucleotides) under Proasellus spelaeus. RNAcentral's name for it is "bacterial LSU rRNA". It matches the Rfam family "Bacterial large subunit ribosomal RNA", at positions 666 to 2531 of the family's 2925-position model. The record is from RNAcentral. Lineage: Eukaryota; Metazoa; Arthropoda; Malacostraca; Isopoda; Asellidae.
CCGUAGCGAAAGCGAGUCUGAAUAGGGCGAGAUUGAUUCUUCGGGAAUCAAAGCGUACUUGUACGUUUAGUCAGUAGUGUUAGACGCGAAACCGUGUGAUCUACCCAUGGGCAGGAUGAAGCUGUGGUAACACAUAGUGGAGGUCCGAACCGGUUGUCGUUGAAAAGACUUCGGAUGACCUGUGGGUAGGGGUGAAAGGCCAAUCAAACCCGGAAAUAGCUCGUACUCCCCGAAAUGCAUUUAGGUGCAGCGUUAGUUAUAAAGUUAUAUAGAGGUAGAGCUACUGAUUGGAUGCGGGGGCUUCACCGCCUACCAAUUCCUGACAAACUCCGAAUGCUAUAUAAUGUUCACUAACAGUGAGGGCUUGGGUGCUAAGGUCCAAGUCCGAGAGGGAAAGAACCCAGACCAUCAGCUAAGGUCCCCAAAUCUAUACUAAGUUGAAAGAACGAGGUUUGUCUGCCCAGACAGCUAGGAUGUUGGCUUGGAAGCAGCCAUUCAUUUAAAGAGUGCGUAACAGCUCACUAGUCGAGCGGACGAGCAUGGAUAAUAAUCGGGCAUAAGUAUAGUACCGAAGCUAUGGAUUUUAACGUAAGUUAAAGUGGUAGGGGAGCAUUCUAACAGGGUAGAAGGUUUUUCGUAAGGGAGGCUGGACUGGUUAGAAAAGAAAAUGUAGGCAUAAGUAACGAUAAUGCGGGCGAGAAACCCGCACACCGAAAAACUAAGGUUUCCACAGCUAUGCUAAUCAGCUGUGGGUUAGUCUGGGCCUAAGGCGAAUCCGAAAGGAACAGUCGAUGGAUAACGGGUUAAUAUUCCCGUACUUGCUCUAAUGUGAUGGGGUGACGGAGAAAUGACACUGCUGCGUGCUGACGGAAUAGCACGUUGAACCAAGUAGGUAUAGGCUUGAUAGUUAAAUGCGUCAGGCUUGCUGAAUUGGGAUAGUACACGAAAUCUUCGGAUGGAGUGAUAAUGCAGGUAAAGGCUUCCAAGAAAAACCUCUAAACUUCAGUUAGACGCAACUCGUACCGUAAACCGACACAGGUAGUUGGGAUGAGUAUUCUAAGGUGCUUGAGUGAAUCAUGGCUAAGGAACUAGGCAAAAUAGACCCGUAACUUCGGGAGAAGGGUCGCUGGUAGCAAUACCAGCCGCAGUGAAAAGGCCCAGGCGACUGUUUAUCAAAAACACAGGACUCUGCUAAGUUGAAAGAUGAUGUAUAGGGUCUGACACCUGCCCGGUGCUGGAAGGUUAAGAGGAGAUGUUAUCUUCGGAGAAGCAUUGAAUUGAAGCCCCAGUAAACGGCGGCCGUAACAAUAACGGUCCUAAGGUAGCGAAAUUCCUUGUCGGGUAAGUUCCGACCUGCACGAAUGGUGUAACGAUCUGGACACUGUCUCAGCCAUGAGCUCGGUGAAAUUGUAGUAACGGUGAAGAUGCCGUUUACCCGCAGUGGGACGAAAAGACCCUGUGCACCUUUACUAUAGCUUAGUAUUGACCUUGGAUAAAUGAUGUGUAGGAUAGGUUGGAGACUAUGAAGUGGCGUCGCUAGGCGUUGUGGAGUCAUUGUUGAAAUACAACCCUUUGUUUAUCUGAGGCCUAACCCCGCAUAAGCGGGGGACAUUGCUUGGUGGGUAGUUUGACUGGGGUGGUCGCCUCCAAAAGAGUAACGGAGGCUUCUAAAGGUUCCCUCAGUACGCUUGGUAACCGUGCGUAGAGUGCAAUGGCAUAAGGGAGCUUGACUGAGAGACAUACAGGUCGAUCAGGUACGAAAGUAGAGCAUAGUGAUCCGGUGGUUCCGCAUGGAAGGGCCAUCGCUCAAAGGAUAAAAGGUACGCCGGGGAUAACAGGCUGAUCUCCCCCAAGAGCUCAUAUCGACGGGGGGGUUUGGCACCUCGAUG